ACGAACGCUGGCGGCGUGCCUAACACAUGCAAGUCGAGCGGGAACUUGAGGAGGGGUAACCCACUUCAAGGGAGAGCGGCGAACGGGUGAGUAUCACGUGGGCAACCUGCCCCGGACACCGGGAUAACCCAGGGAAACCUGAGCUAAUACCGGAUACUCCGGUUGGAUCGCAUGGUCCGAUCGGGAAAGCUCCGACGGUCCGGGAUGGGCCCGCGGCCUAUCAGCUUGUUGGUGGGGUAACGGCCUACCAAGGCGACGACGGGUAGCUGGUCUGAGAGGACGGCCAGCCACACUGGGACUGAGACACGGCCCAGACUCCUACGGGAGGCAGCAGUGGGGAAUAUUGCGCUAAUGCGCGAAAGCGUGACGCAGCGACGCCGCGUGGGGAUGAAGGCCCUCGGGUCGU
RNAcentral lists this ribosomal RNA (406 nucleotides) under uncultured bacterium. RNAcentral describes it as "bacterial SSU rRNA". It matches the Rfam family "Bacterial small subunit ribosomal RNA", at positions 29 to 426 of the family's 1533-position model. The record is from RNAcentral.